This 119-nucleotide ribosomal RNA is filed under the name uncultured bacterium. Its description in RNAcentral is "partial 16S ribosomal RNA". It matches the Rfam family "Bacterial small subunit ribosomal RNA", at positions 1358 to 1482 of the family's 1533-position model. The record is from RNAcentral.
UACGGUAGAAUUACCGGUUCCCGGACCUUGUACACACCGCCGUCAAGCCAUGGAAGCCGGGUGUACCUAAAGCCGGUAACCGCAAGGAGCCGCCUAGGGUAAAACUGGUGACUGGGGCU